AGUUCGGAUUGUAGGCUGAAACUCGCCUACAUGAAGCUGGAGUUACUAGUAAUCGCAGAUCAGAAUGCUGCGGUGAAUGCGUUCCCGGGUCUUGUACACACCGCCCGUCACACCCCGGGAGUUGGAGACGCCCGAAGCCGAUUAUCUAACCUUUUGGAAGAAGUCGUCGAAGGUGGAAUCAAUAACUGGGGUGAAGUCGUAACAAGGUAGCCGGAUCGGAAGGUGCGGCUGGAUCACCUCCU
RNAcentral lists this ribosomal RNA (242 nucleotides) under Clostridioides difficile. RNAcentral describes it as "partial 16S ribosomal RNA". It matches the Rfam family "Bacterial small subunit ribosomal RNA", at positions 1290 to 1531 of the family's 1533-position model. The record is from RNAcentral. Lineage: Bacteria; Bacillati; Bacillota; Clostridia; Peptostreptococcales; Peptostreptococcaceae.